Molecule: ribosomal RNA, 1343 nt
Filed under: uncultured bacterium
Lineage: Bacteria
Description: 16S ribosomal RNA
Rfam family: Bacterial small subunit ribosomal RNA
Source: RNAcentral
GACGAACGCUGGCGGCGUGCUUAACACAUGCAAGUCGAACGGAAAGGCCCUGCUUUUGUGGGGUGCUCGAGUGGCGAACGGGUGAGUAACACGUGAGUAACCUGCCCUUGACUUUGGGAUAACUUCAGGAAACUGGGGCUAAUACCGGAUAGGAGCUCCUGCUGCAUGGUGGGGGUUGGAAAGUUUCGGCGGUUGGGGAUGGACUCGCGGCUUAUCAGCUUGUUGGUGGGGUAGUGGCUUACCAAGGCUUUGACGGGUAGCCGGCCUGAGGGGGUGACCGGCCACAUUGGGACUGAGAUACGGCCCAGACUCCUACGGGAGGCAGCAGUGGGGAAUAUUGCACAAUGGGCGGAAGCCUGAUGCAGCAACGCCGCGUGCGGGAUGACGGCCUUCGGGUUGUAAACCGCUUUCGCCUGUGACGAAGCGUGAGUGACGGUAAUGGGUAAAGAAGCACCGGCUAACUACGUGCCAGCAGCCGCGGUGAUACGUAGGGUGCGAGCGUUGUCCGGAUUUAUUGGGCGUAAAGGGCUCGUAGGUGGUUGAUCGCGUCGGAAGUGUAAUCUUGGGGCUUAACCCUGAGCGUGCUUUCGAUACGGGUUGACUUGAGGAAGGUAGGGGAGAAUGGAAUUCCUGGUGGAGCGGUGGAAUGCGCAGAUAUCAGGAGGAACACCAGUGGCGAAGGCGGUUCUCUGGGCCUUUCCUGACGCUGAGGAGCGAAAGCGUGGGGAGCGAACAGGCUUAGAUACCCUGGUAGUCCACGCUGUAAACGGUGGGUACUAGGUGUGGGGUCCAUUCCACGGGUUCCGUGCCGUAGCUAACGCUUUAAGUACCCCGCCUGGGGAGUACGGCCGCAAGGCUAAAACUCAAAGGAAUUGACGGGGCCCCGCACAAGCGGCGGAGCAUGCGGAUUAAUUCGAUGCAACGCGUAGAACCUUACCUGGGUUUGACAUGGAUCGGGAGUGCUCAGAGAUGGGUGUGCCUCUUUUGGGGUCGGUUCACAGGUGGUGCAUGGCUGUCGUCAGCUCGUGUCGUGAGAUGUUGGGUUAAGUCCCGCAACGAGCGCAACCCUUGUUCACUGUUGCCAGCACGUUAUGGUGGGGACUCAGUGGAGACCGCCGGGGUCAACUCGGAGGAAGGUGGGGAUGACGUCAAGUCAUCAUGCCCCUUAUGUCCAGGGCUUCACGCAUGCUACAAUGGCUGGUACAGAGAGUGGCGAGCCUGUGAGGGUGAGCGAAUCUCGGAAAGCCGGUCUCAGUUCGGAUUGGGGUCUGCAACUCGACCUCAUGAAGUCGGAGUCGCUAGUAAUCGCAGAUCAGCAACGCUGCGGUGAAUACGUUCCCGGG